This 460-nucleotide ribosomal RNA is filed under the name uncultured bacterium. RNAcentral describes it as "partial 16S ribosomal RNA". It matches the Rfam family "Bacterial small subunit ribosomal RNA", at positions 338 to 795 of the family's 1533-position model. The record is from RNAcentral.
CCUACGGGGAGCAGCAGUGAGGAAUAUUGGUCAAUGGACGAAAGUCUGAACCAGCCAUGCCGCGUGCAGGAAGACGGCUCUAUGAGUUGUAAACUUCUUUUGUACAAGGGUAAACCUGAAUACGUGUAUUCAGCUGAAUGUACUGUACGAAUAAGGAUCGGCUAACUCCGUGCCAGCCGCCGCGGUAAUACGGAGGAUCCAAGAGUUAUCCGGAUUUAUUGGGUUUAAAGGGUGCGUAGGCGGAUUGAUAAGUUAGAGGUGAAAUGUCCGGGCUCAACUCGGGAACUGCCUCUAAUACUGGUGAUCUAGAGAGUAGAUGCGGUAGGCGGAAUGUAUGGUGUAGAGGUGAAAUGCUUAGAGAUCAUACAGAACACCGAUUGCGAAGGCAGCUUACCAAUCUAUAUCUGACGUUGAGGCACGAAAGCGUGGGGAGCAAACAGGAUUAGAUACCCCAGUAGUC